Molecule: ribosomal RNA, 497 nt
Filed under: uncultured bacterium
Lineage: Bacteria
Description: partial 16S ribosomal RNA
Rfam family: Bacterial small subunit ribosomal RNA
Source: RNAcentral
GAUGAACGCUGGCGGCGUGCCUAAUACAUGCAAGUCGAGCGAACAGACGAGGAGCUUGCUCCUCUGACGUUAGCGGCGGACGGGUGAGUAACACGUGGAUAACCUACCUAUAAGACUGGGAUAACUUCGGGAAACCGGAGCUAAUACCGGAUAAUAUAUUCAACCGCAUGGUUCAAUAGUGAAAGACGGUUUUGCUGUCACUUAUAGAUGGAUCCGCGCCGCAUUAGCUAGUUGGUAAGGUAACGGCUUACCAAGGCAACGAUGCGUAGCCGACCUGAGAGGGUGAUCGGCCACACUGGAACUGAGACACGGUCCAGACUCCUACGGGAGGCAGCAGUAGGGAAUCUUCCGCAAUGGGCGAAAGCCUGACGGAGCAACGCCGCGUGAGUGAUGAAGGUCUUCGGAUCGUAAAGCUCUGUUAUUAGGAAAGAACAAAUGUGUAAGUAACUAUGCACGUCUUGACGGUACCUAAUCAGAAAGCCCCGGCUAACUACGUG